UAGGUCAGUAGCUCAAUUGGCAGAGCGCCGGGCUCUUAAUCCGGGCGUUGUGAGUUCAAGUCUCACCUG
RNAcentral lists this transfer RNA (69 nucleotides) under Streptomyces phage Rowa. RNAcentral describes it as "tRNA-Lys". It matches the Rfam family "tRNA". From Rfam's summary of the family: Transfer RNA (tRNA) molecules are approximately 80 nucleotides in length. Their secondary structure includes four short double-helical elements and three loops (D, anti-codon, and T loops). Further hydrogen bonds mediate the characteristic L-shaped molecular structure. tRNAs have two regions of fundamental functional importance: the anti-codon, which is responsible for specific mRNA codon recognition, and the 3' end, to which the tRNAs corresponding amino acid is attached (by aminoacyl-tRNA synthetases). tRNAs cope with the degeneracy of the genetic code in two manners: having more than one tRNA (with a specific anti-codon) for a particular amino acid; and 'wobble' base-pairing, i.e. permitting non-standard base-pairing at the 3rd anti-codon position. Lineage: Duplodnaviria; Heunggongvirae; Uroviricota; Caudoviricetes. The record is from RNAcentral.